ACCAGCUUCUUUCUAUGGUGCUACCCGUUCCAGGGUUAGGACUGUAACCACCAGCUUCUUUCUAUGGUGCUACCCGUUCCAGGGUUAGGACUGUAACCACCAGCUUCUUUCUAUGGUGCUACCCGUUCCAGGGUUAGGACUGUAACCACCAGAGGACUUGAAAAUGAGCCGGAGCUGAGAGGAUCACCAAAACUAAAGAGCUUCAACCAUGCGUACAACGAUCCGUGGAGAUCAGUGGACAAAGGGCUGAAACUUGGGUCUCACUGAAAAAAACGCAUGUUUGCCAAGAAAGAGGCCACUGUAAUUGAUGGGGGCUCAGGGCGAUACCAUUCUGCUCAUCUGAUGAAGGUGCUCAUGGGUGAGAUUAAAACUUUGAAGACCGAGAUCGAGUCAUUAAAGGUAGCCCAUCAGAAAGAGAAACAUUAUCUGAGGGCAGAGAUACGGGCGAAAGCUGAUGCAUUGGUCCAGAGCCAGGUGGUAUUGGUGGAGAGUCACUCCUCAUUAGUGGAGAUUCAGGCGGAGAUGUGUAACCGAAGAGAGAUACCAAAAGUGGGCACAGAAUACAAACUGGGAUGGAUCCCGAGGCAAAUGUGGCUUACCAGUGAACCACCGGGUGUUCAUCAUUAAUACUGUGUCUCAGAAGUUUCCGUCCAUGACUGAUGCAACCCGAAAAAUAAUUAAAGACGGAGUUAAUGAGUACUUGAGUUCACAGAGAAAGUCUGGACAUGGCCUGUUCUCCCUUAUGUAAGGACUUUCCCAUGUUUACUACAGUAUGUACUAUAUGCUAUGUUUUGUUUAAAAAAUAAUGCUAAAAAUAAUAUUUCAAAAUGCUGAAGUUUAUUUAGUAAUGGAUCCACAACGUAUUACUUGUUCAAAUAUGCCAUGAUAUUUUUGAGAUAUGUGUUGAAGCAAGUGAUGUCUGUUUUUUUGCCUUUUCUCGUUCACUCUAGGAUAAAUGAAAACGAGAUCUCCAAAAUAUAGUUACAUUUUAAGAACAAAUUCUUAUUUACAAGGACUCCUUCCUCCCCAACGGGGAUUUGAACCCCGGUCUCCCACUUGCCCCGCAUUCUGUAGUACAGACAUGGCCUGCUCUCCCUUAUGUAAGGAAUUAGGCACUUUCUCAUGUUUACUAUAGUAUGUAUUGUAGACUGCACAGUAGCCUAAUAAACAAACAAACACAUUUUGUUAAUAAAAUAAUGAUAAAAAAUA
This is a long non-coding RNA of Oncorhynchus tshawytscha (Chinook salmon), 1209 nucleotides long. RefSeq lists it as uncharacterized. The record is from RefSeq and is a predicted model, not a curated record. NCBI's taxonomy places the organism in Eukaryota, Metazoa, Chordata, Actinopteri, Salmoniformes, Salmonidae. The transcript has 3 exons.